AACGAACGCUGGCGGCAGGCCUAACACAUGCAAGUCGAGCGAGGACUUCGGUUCUAGCGGCGGACGGGUGAGUAACGCGUGGGAAUGUGCCCUUCUCUACGGAAUAGCCCUGGGAAACUGGGAGUAAUACCGUAUACGCCCUUUUGGGGAAAGAUUUAUCGGAGAAGGAUCAGCCCGCGUUGGAUUAGGUAGUUGGUGGGGUAAUGGCCUACCAAGCCGACGAUCCAUAGCUGGUUUGAGAGGAUGAUCAGCCACACUGGGACUGAGACACGGCCCAGACUCCUACGGGAGGCAGCAGUGGGGAAUCUUAGACAAUGGGGGCAACCCUGAUCAAGCCAUGCCGCGUGAGUGAUGAAGGCCUUAGGGUUGUAAAGCUCUUUCAGCUGGGAAGAUAAUGACGGUACCAGCAGAAGAAGCCCCGGCUAACUCCGUG
RNAcentral lists this ribosomal RNA (433 nucleotides) under uncultured bacterium. RNAcentral's name for it is "partial 16S ribosomal RNA". It matches the Rfam family "Bacterial small subunit ribosomal RNA", at positions 29 to 507 of the family's 1533-position model. The record is from RNAcentral.